This 387-nucleotide unclassified non-coding RNA is filed under the name Hevea brasiliensis (rubber tree). The record is from RNAcentral. Lineage: Eukaryota; Viridiplantae; Streptophyta; Magnoliopsida; Malpighiales; Euphorbiaceae.
UUGGAUGAGAAAAGAAAUAGAUUGAAUGAGAAGAGUAAAAGAAGAGAAUAUUCAAAGAUGAGAGAAAAUUAUUCUUGUUUAUUUAUUCUUGAAACACCCUAUUCUAAUACAAAUAUACUCUAUUUAUACACUCCUGAAUACUGUAACUACUUUGACUUUCUCCUAAAAAGCUAUAGCAUCUUUACAACUACUCAACUAUCACAUGCCACCCUCACUAUUUUACUCCUUCUACAUACAAUUACAAACCUUACUCUCCUUACUAGUAUUCAUUACACUAACCUUCAAAGCUCACCUAUAACCUUUGCUUGAAAUUCAGUCAUCUAUCUUUUACAAGCCAGAAAGGAUCUUUAACUUACAUUGCUUUAAUAUCAAAGCUCAAACUAAAGA